UUAUUACAUAAAAGGCUACAUUUUUUUACAAGGAUAACAAAAAAAUCCCUUUGAAAAAAAAAAAGUCCCUCUUUUCAUUUCUGUUACUUUCACAGAGCUGAAAGUAAAGAACAGAAAAGAAACCCCAAACCUCAAAAUUUUCUCUUUCUCACGUUGAUAGAAGGAUUUAAGCUAGAAAGGCAAAGAUAUGAAAUAAUUUCGUGUUUUUUGUUUAUAAAUAUUUUGUUGGGUUUUCAAUUCUUUUUUCGCCAUUUCUUUUGCAUGUUGAUGAUCUUUGGUGGCUUUAACUCGGUACUUGGACUCACUUCAAACUCACUUCCGCUAAUACUUCUUCGGGUUUCACAUGGCUAGCAACCCCAACGAGGCUUCCCCUGAUGAUUUCCUCGAGCAAAUCCUCGGAUUCCCUAACUUCGCGCCUUCUGAGACGGGUUUGGCGGGACCCGACGGUGGACUGGCAGGAACAACUGCUGGUGCCGGAACGCCAAUGUUUCUACAACUCAGCUCUGGCGAUGGAGCCAGUCAUCUCGGCGGAAUCGGCGGCGGUGGAGGCGGCGCGUUUCCCGGUCAGGUUUUUCCGUUGGGGUUGAGCUUAGACCAAGGGAAAAGCGGCGGGUUCUUGAAGCCGGAGGAAGGUUCUGGUGGUAGCAGCAGGCGGUUUCGCGAUGAAGUCGUUGAUGGCAGGGCUUCCUCAGUUAAAAACGUUUUCCAUGGUUCACCAAUGCCGGCUACCGUUGCUCCAUCACCGCAUCCACCAACAAUGCGUCCAAGGGUGCGGGCUAGACGAGGACAGGCCACGGAUCCGCAUAGCAUUGCUGAACGGUUGCGGAGGGAAAGAAUUGCUGAAAGAAUCCGAGCAUUACAGGAACUUGUUCCUAGUGUUAACAAGACUGAUAGAGCGGUCAUGCUCGAUGAAAUUGUAGAUUAUGUCAAGUUCCUGAGGCUCCAAGUUAAGGUUUUGAGUAUGAGUAGGUUAGGCGGGGCGGGGGCAGUGGCACCGCUUGUUACAGACAUCCCAUUAUCAUCAGUCGAGGACGAAAGCGGUGACAGUGGAAGGAACCAACCGGCAUGGGAGAAAUGGUCAAACGACGGCACCGAGCGACAAGUAGCCAAGCUCAUGGAAGAAAACGUAGGAGCUGCCAUGCAAUUCCUUCAAUCAAAAGCUCUUUGCAUUAUGCCAAUCUCACUAGCCACCGCCAUCUACCACUCGCAACCACCGGAUACCUCUUCUAUCAUCAAGCCCGAAACAGAUCCCCCUCCAUAACCCUAACAAACAAAAAAUAAGGGUAUGCAUCCCACACAGUCCAUCCUAUAUGUCCUACACUAUGAGGAAAAAAAAAAGGAAGGGGGGCCUUCAUGUCCGGAUUUGUCAAUGGUGAUCUCUUUUGUAUUCAAUGGUGGGGGUAGUGGAUAAUGAUGGAAGAAGAGGGCACUCUCAUAGUGGGGACUUUAAAUUUUUUUGUUAGUGGGAUUGUUAGACCUGCAAAUAUAUAUAUAUAUAUAUAUGUGUGUGUGUAAUAAUAUUGUAAGAAGGUAUUUUGGAAGAGGAAUUGCAGUAAAAGGUAGAAGAAUGAGGGUGAUGUCUGCCCAUUAAAAAAAUGGUUGUUGCUUUGAAGUCCAACUGAUACUUCGUGAUAAUGGACUUUGUAACUUUGUUCCUAUAAAGUAAUUUGACUAAA
Molecule: RNA transcript, 1676 nt
Organism: Gossypium arboreum
Lineage: Eukaryota; Viridiplantae; Streptophyta; Magnoliopsida; Malvales; Malvaceae
Gene name: transcription factor UNE12-like
Exons: 7
Source: RefSeq, a predicted model, not a curated record